CCCAAGGGACUCUGCAAGCUAGUCAUGUGACAUACUUCUGACCAAUGAGAGGCCAGCAGAAGUCUUUGUGAGAGGCUGCCAGGAUUUACCGGUUCCAGUCUCUUUUGCUUUCUGUUUUCUCUUUCUUCCUGUCUGGAAUGUAGCUGUAGUGCCUGAAAGGGCUGCGGCUAUUUUGCAAACCUGGGGUGGAAGUUACCUGUUUCUGAUGGCAGAGAGGUGCUAGAAGGUGCCAGGGUCCGUGCAAGUCCGAAUCAUCAUGCCAGCCUUCUCCGGAUUCUGGCCACUACCGGGAGCGGAUUCCCUGAGGUCCGCCUAAUGUUUGGUUGUGGAUCUCUGCAUCUGUUUCCAUCUGUUGCUGGAUGAAGCCUCUCUGAUGACAGUUGGGCUAGGCACCAAUCUGUCAGAGAGAGGCCGUUUCUAAUCCAUUAUCUCACCCCAGAUGUUCACAUUUCCUUCUAAAGUAUCAUGGAGGAGUGGCCAUGGGAAGACCCAGCUAUGGAAGCAGUUGUGAGAUACCUGGCCAUGAUUUGGGGAUACAACAUGGCCUCAAAUCCUAAGAGAUUAUGUGGUUUCUUUCACAGCCAGGAGCCAGAGGCGCCACACAUCAAAAGGUGGUUUUGAAGGGGCUGCCCCCAUCACUCCUAAUGACCUCCAGUGACAUUUUGUGUGUCCACCCUGCAACUUUGGGUUUCCCUGGUUUUGAAGUCCUGGUUCUCAUGGAAUUCACAGAAGAAGAAAUGCACAUGGUCACAGCUGCUCCUUGGCAUGACUGUGCCUCAACCCCAGACUUCCUGUCUAUCAUGGCAGAAGGAGAAUUCCUUGGCUUGAGGUGGAAGAAAUCACAGCAGGUUCUUCCAUGCCCUGGACUAGACAAGCCAUCGUCAGGGCGUCUGACAAGACUGUGUCUGCCUGGAAGGAGCGGGCCCUGACCCAGCCUAUGGGCCUGUGUGUGUUGGCAAAGGUUCACAAAGAUGUUGGACUCUGGUCCUGCAUAUUGAAAACAUUUUUCAGUGGAGCCCAGGUAUUUGACUGGAAAAAUGAUAAUAUUCCCUCUCGGGAUGUCAAACAUCCGGAUAAAUAGAAGUCUUUUUCCAUCUUCCCUCUGGCCCGAGGGUUACAAAGGACUCAUAGACACAGGCCUUUGGAACUGGCUAGCUCAGCCAGCGCAAGUACCAACCUGUACCACAGAGAGUGACUAUUUUUAAAAAGAGAGGGAAGUAUGUCGCCCAGGUUUGCUCAGAGAGCCUGGCUCCCUCAGGAGAGGAUGCGGGGCCUGCCUACCUUUCAGAUGGAUGCCUCUGAGUGGUGUCAGGGCAGCCACUGUGACACUUAAGGCUCAUAUCGCCAAGUGCUGCAUAGCAGGAGGCUGGGGCCAGCCUGGAAGGGAGAAGUUAGCCCACCCAGGACUGGGGCUAUGAGAAGGUGGGGGCAGGAAUUGGGCAGAAGGUGCUGUAGGCAUUAACUGAAGAGCUGUUUUUAUUUUCAAUGAACUGGAACCCAAGGAUGCUCAAGCUACAGGGAGCCUGUUGGUUAAAUAAAGACUUAAUGCAGACAUGCCCUCCCACACACACAAAAUCCUCCUGCAAACAGUGUGAUGGGCCUGCUGGACAAGCUUUUGGGAGGAAGCCACAGAGAGGGAAUGACCCCACAUCUUCCUCAAGUUUCACAAGGAGUCAUGACAACCUUCCCAGAUCUUGGGCUUCUUUGAGAGCCAUCUUACACUGUCGAGCCAGUGGCCUCUAGGAUGGACUCUGAUUCCCCAACUCUGCUUGUCUCCAUGUCACUGGAAGCCACUGCCUGGUGUGUGGGCACUGAAGCCCCUGGGGCCAAUACAAACACUUUAUUUAACUCCUUGCCUUUGGCUCCAGUAGGACACCAUGCCCUGUCACAUUUGGUGUGAGAUCUUAAUUCUUUAAGAAGUACUUCCUUGGGCUGGAGAGAUGAAGAGCACUGGCUGCUCUUCCAGAGGUCCUGAGUUCAAUUCCCAGCAACCACAUGGUGGCUCACAGUCAUCUGUAAUGAGAUCUGGUGCCCUCUUCUGGCCUGCAGGCAUAUAUGGAGGCAGAAU
RNAcentral lists this long non-coding RNA (2068 nucleotides) under Cricetulus griseus (Chinese hamster). RNAcentral describes it as "lncRNA (ENSCGRG00015020350.2)". Lineage: Eukaryota; Metazoa; Chordata; Mammalia; Rodentia; Cricetidae. The record is from RNAcentral.